UGGGUUACGGGGCUUAGUCCUUCCUCCGUAUGGCAAUGACUAGAACCGUUACUCAUC
This 57-nucleotide microRNA precursor is filed under the name Caenorhabditis elegans. Lineage: Eukaryota; Metazoa; Nematoda; Chromadorea; Rhabditida; Rhabditidae. The record is from RNAcentral.